GCGCCCUCUGAGUGCCCUUGUUUGCUUGUUGUCUAAUCUGCCCACAAAAUCACACAUCGAAUGUGCCUAGUGCCAGCUGGGCAAACAGAACAGGGGCAGAAAGCAAAGCUUUGUCAAUCUUAGCGGAUCUGUAUUUCUCGGUUGCUUCAGUGUCACAUCGGACAGCAUGACGUUGACUUCCAGGUUUGUCCUGAUGAAUAAGAUAGCGCUCCGCUGGCUGCAGAAGUGCCCGUGCUUGUUUGGAAGCUGGCUGAGUCACCGUGCGCUCUCUGGGAAGCCCGCGUUGAUGUUCCCAUGGUGCAGCUUUUGGGUUUGUGCUAUGCUAGACAGUAAGCGUGCUUUCCCUGACCGAAGGCCAACUUUGUAUUUUCCCACCCUGGAGGACUGAGAAACAGAUACAUGAAAAAUCAGGCCACGCUGGGCUUUCGUGAGUGUUAAGUACAAAGAGUGGGUGACUCCCUGGGGGGGGGUGGUUUCUCAGGGAAAGUCACCCCAGACCUGCAUCUUAGAAAAUGAGCUCAUCAGCUGGGGGAGAGAGAGGACUUGAACCUCAGAUGUGCAGGAAGCGACGGAUGAUCGGAACGGUGCAGUAAGGCUGUAGUCGGAGGCCGCUGACUGAGCCCCAGCCAGCAGUGCUGAGUGACGCACACCUCUUCCGAGCCUGCCCCACGCUGCGUCCCUUCUGGAUGGCUGGAGCGGGUCCACUGCCGGGUGGUACGGAGGUGGUAGAGCCUCUCUGGCUCUGGCGAGUUUCAUGGUUUGGGGGAUGAAGACAUCCACCACAGUGCUUUUAAAUGAGCAGGGGAUAGCAUCUAUUGUCUUUGAUUCAGUACAUAUUAAAUGAAUAUGUGUUGCUUACUGUAUAUUUAUUAAAUAUAAGUCAGCUAGCUGACCAUAGAAAUCACAGCUGAGGAGAGAAAAAUACUGAGAAGCCUUGAACACUACACUAGGUGAUUUCAAUUUUCUGGUUCCACAGUGGGGGAUGUGGUG
RNAcentral lists this long non-coding RNA (990 nucleotides) under Chinchilla lanigera (long-tailed chinchilla). Its description in RNAcentral is "lncRNA (ENSCLAG00000026676.1)". The record is from RNAcentral. Lineage: Eukaryota; Metazoa; Chordata; Mammalia; Rodentia; Chinchillidae.